GGUUCAUUGAGGAAGUAAAAGUCGUAACAAGGUCUCCGUUGGUGAACCAGCGGAGGGAUCAUUAUCGAGUUACCACUCCCAAACCCCCUGCGAACACCACAGCAGUUGCCUCGGCGGGACCGCCCCGGCGCCCCAGGGCCCGGACCAGGGCGCCCGCCGGAGGACCCCCAGACCCUCCUGUCGCAGUGGCAUCUCUCAGUCAAGAAGCAAGCAAAUGAAUCAAAACUUUCAACAACGGAUCUCUUGGUUCUGGCAUCGAUGAAGAACGCAGCGAAAUGCGAUAAGUAAUGUGAAUUGCAGAAUUCAGUGAACCAUCGAAUCUUUGAACGCACAUUGCGCCCGCCAGCACUCUGGCGGGCAUGCCUGUCCGAGCGUCAUCUCAACCCUCGAGCCCCCCGCCUCGCGGCGGCGGGGCCCGGCCUUGGGGGUCACGGCCCCGCGCCGCCCCCUAAACGCAGUGGCGACCCCGCCGCGGCUCCCCUGCGCAGUAGCUCACCGAGAACCUCGCACCGGAAGCGCGGAGGCGGUCACGCCGUGAAACCACCACGCCUUCCAGUUGACCUCGGAUCAGGUAGGGAUACCCGCUGAACUUAAGCAUAUCAAUAAGGCGGAGGAA
Molecule: ribosomal RNA, 616 nt
Filed under: Ophiocordyceps sinensis
Lineage: Eukaryota; Fungi; Ascomycota; Sordariomycetes; Hypocreales; Ophiocordycipitaceae
Description: eukaryotic LSU rRNA
Rfam family: 5.8S ribosomal RNA (bases 224-377)
Source: RNAcentral